GAUAAACAGCUGAUUGGCAUGAUCAGCUGUUUGCCGUGCUUUUAUUUUUCCAUAUUUCUUAACUAUUAAUAAACUAUUAAUGUAUAAUUGUUUCAUUUUAUAUAAAAGACCAAAAUUAGCAUUUAAAAUGGGUCUACACUGGCAAAAUGUGUGAGAAUAAAAGAAUUUAAACAUCGUCAUUUCAAAAAUUUCUAAAAGAUAGUGAGAGAAAAAUUAAAUGGUUUUCUCUGUUAGGAUUUAUUCAUAGCAUAAUAUUAAAAAGUCGAGCAAAAGAGAACUCAAGAACAGCUGAUUUUUUUAUAAGGAAUUGAAGAAAAUAUUUAAAAUCUGAUGAUUUUCACAGCCAUUUAUGUCGCGAUUUGUGGUCUUUCAGUUGUUUCAACAUCACCUAGGAAAUUAACAUUAAGAUAUCAGGAUCCUGCAUAUAACGAGAUAAGAACUAUGAUCUUGUUAGGAUACCUAUUCCGUCACAAUAUGAAGUGAAGAUAUUCAUGGUGUGGAAGUCGUUACUUUAAUUACAUAGUGCAUAUGAAAUUGGUCCUUUACAUCAUGUUUAAAAUUGACGUAAUGCUACUAUGCAAAAUAGUGAGAGAUGUGAACCCUAGGCAGAGCUACAGAAUUACUUUUGUUGAGAGACAAAUUAUGAUAGUGAUUAGAAUCGCAUAUUCUAGACUUUUACUUAAAAAAUGAUUUGUUCGGAAUGAACUUUUAUAGUGUGGAGGAAUACCUGCAAAUUAUAAUAUGAGGCCUACGUAUAUGAUAAUUUUAUUAUGAUCUGUUGUGUUUGUUUUUUUAUAUUUUGUAUUAUAUAUUUGUGUUAGCUUUAAGAAUUUAUUGACUAUUCCUAUACAAUUGUACAUUGUUUUAUGGAAAUAAAUAAAUGAUUGAUUGAUUGAAUAAGUUAGGAAACCAUACGAUCGAGAAAAAAACGGCUUCAAAGGCGACUGGGGAAUGAAAAUAUGAUAAUUUCAGUGAGGUCAAGCCCUAGAAGUCAUUUUCUUGGCUCGUACUAUUUUUUAAAGGCGCUCUAAGGUUGUAAUUUAUUUUUACAUUAAGUAAAUAUGAUUUUUAAAUGGUGUAGUUUAAGAUUGACCUCGCUAAAUUAUCAAUCGUCAUUCCUCAGCCGCCUUUGACGCCGUUUUUUUUAGACUAUUUGCUAUAACUAUGUUAUCUGUUAUGCAAAUACAUAUGUCAACAAGUAAAAAGCCAAUGAGAAAUUAGUUUCUGCUUGGAUCCUUACAGUGGCAUUUAACAAAAUAUAUAUUUUUUCAGGUUACAAUAUUUUAUUUAAUAUGAACCUGUAAAUGUAAGAAUAUUAUACAUAUAUUAUAUUUUUUACUCAGUCCCUAAAUAUAUUAUUAAAAUACAACACUUGUGUUUUUUAUUAAUAUCGUGUUAUGAUUAAUACCUAAUUAAUGUAAAAUUAUAUGGUAUGUAAAUAUCCUUACACUGAGAAUUCGUUUGGUCAAAAUAUUACUCUCUUACUAAUAUGAAUUUGAAAACUACAGAACAUUGUUUUUUUUUAGUUUUUGUGCUAAUAUUUCCACUUAAAAUUACCGAAUAUAUUUAUGGUAUAGGUAGGAAAAGAUGAAUUUUGUGCUUUUUAAUUAUACAUUAUAUUAAUUAUAUUAUUAUUGUAAAUAAUAUCUACUGAUAUUUAAUAUAAAAAAUAGUUAUUCACAUGCAUCUAUUUUUCUUUUGUAAUUAAUACUAUCUAAAUAACAAGACAUCUUAUAUAAUAGAUCCAUUACCAUUUUAGUUUAUCAAUUAUCAAUCACUAUACGAUAUACAAUACGUAUAAUAUCUUUUAAUUAUAUCUAACUUUUAAUUAUUGAAUAUUUAAUAAACAAAUUUUUUAUAGUGUUUGUUA
RNAcentral lists this long non-coding RNA (1870 nucleotides) under Sitophilus oryzae (rice weevil). Its description in RNAcentral is "uncharacterized LOC115881406". Lineage: Eukaryota; Metazoa; Arthropoda; Insecta; Coleoptera; Curculionidae. The record is from RNAcentral.